RNAcentral lists this ribosomal RNA (492 nucleotides) under uncultured bacterium. RNAcentral describes it as "partial 16S ribosomal RNA". It matches the Rfam family "Bacterial small subunit ribosomal RNA", at positions 29 to 507 of the family's 1533-position model. The record is from RNAcentral.
AGUGAACGCUGGCGGUAGGCCUAACACAUGCAAGUCGAACGGCAGCACAGUAAGAGCUUGCUCUUACGGGUGGCGAGUGGCGGACGGGUGAGGAAUACAUCGGAAUCUACUUUUUCGUGGGGGAUAACGUAGGGAAACUUACGCUAAUACCGCAUACGACCUACGGGUGAAAGCAGGGGAUCUUCGGACCUUGCGCGAUUGAAUGAGCCGAUGUCGGAUUAGCUAGUUGGCGGGGUAAAGGCCCACCAAGGCGACGAUCCGUAGCUGGUCUGAGAGGAUGAUCAGCCACACUGGAACUGAGACACGGUCCAGACUCCUACGGGAGGCAGCAGUGGGGAAUAUUGGACAAUGGGCGCAAGCCUGAUCCAGCUAUACCGCCUGGGUGAAGAAGGCCUUCGGGUUGUAAAGCCCUUUUGUUGGGAAAGAAAAGCAGCAGGUUAAUACCCCGCUGUUCUGACGGUACCCAAAGAAUAAGCACCGGCUAACUUCGUG